Molecule: unclassified non-coding RNA, 401 nt
Filed under: soil metagenome
Description: partial contains 5.8S ribosomal RNA, internal transcribed spacer 2, and large subunit ribosomal RNA
Rfam family: 5.8S ribosomal RNA (bases 1-121)
Source: RNAcentral
GAUGAAGAACGUAGCGAAAUGCGAUAAGUAAUGUGAAUUGCAGAAUUCAGUGAAUCAUCGAAUCUUUGAACGCACCUUGCACCCUUUGGCUAUUCCGAAGGGUAUGCCUGUUUGAGUAUCAUGAACACCUCAACUCUCAUGGUUUGCCAUGAUGAGCUUGGACUUUGGGGGUCUUGCUGGCCUGUGGUCAGCUCCUCUCAAAUGGAUUAGCUUGCCAGUGUUUGGUGGCAUCACAGGUGUGAUAACUAUCUACGCUUGUGGUUUUCCACCAGGUAACCUUCAGCAAUGGGGGUUCGCUGGGGCUCAUAAAUGUCUCUCCUCAGUGAGGACAGCUCUUUGAACGUUUGAUCUCAAAUCAGGUAGGACUACCCGCUGAACUUAAGCAUAUCAAUAAGCGGAGA